This 253-nucleotide ribosomal RNA is filed under the name uncultured bacterium. RNAcentral's name for it is "partial 16S ribosomal RNA". It matches the Rfam family "Bacterial small subunit ribosomal RNA", at positions 524 to 776 of the family's 1533-position model. The record is from RNAcentral.
UACGUAGGUGGCGAGCGUUGUCCGGAUUUAUUGGGUUUAAAGGGUGCGUAGGCGGCCCUGUAAGUCAGCGGUGAAAUACUCCAGCUCAACUGGAGGGGUGCCGUUGAUACUGCAGGGCUUGAGUGCAGUCGAGGCAGGCGGAAUUGACGGUGUAGCGGUGAAAUGCUUAGAUAUCGUCAAGAACACCGAUAGUGAAGACAGCUUGCUAGUCUGCAACUGACGCUGAGGCACGAAAGUGUGGGGAUCAAACAGG